Molecule: microRNA precursor, 104 nt
Filed under: Marmota monax (woodchuck)
Lineage: Eukaryota; Metazoa; Chordata; Mammalia; Rodentia; Sciuridae
Source: RNAcentral
AGAGCAAUAGCUGGGUCAAAUGAUGGUUCCAUCCCCAGCUUUCCCAAGGAAUCUCCAUACUGCUUUCCAAAUUGGCCUCACCAAUUUGCAGUCCCACCAGCAAU